GGACGGGGCCCGCACAAGCGGUGGAGCAUGUGGUUUAAUUCGAAGACAACGACGAAGAACCUUACCAGGUCUUGACAUCCCGAUGCUAUUUCUAGAGAUAGAAAGUUACUUCGGUACAUCGGUGACAGGUGGUGCAUGGUUGUCGUCAGCUCGUGUCGUGAGAUGUUGGGUUAAGUCCCGCAACGAGCGCAACCCUUGUCAUUAGUUGCCAUCAUUUAGUUGGGCACUCUAAUGAGACUGCCGGUGACAAACCGGAGGAAGGUGGGGAUGACGUCAAGUCCUCAUGGCCCUUAUGGGUAGGGCUUCACACGUCAUACAAUGGUCAGUACAGAGGGUUGCCAAGCCGCGAGGUGGAGCCAAUCCCUUAAAGCCGAUCGUAGUCCGGAUCGUAGUCUGCAACUCGACUACGUGAAGUCGGAAUCGCUAGUAAUCGCAGAUCAGCAUGCUGCGGUGAAUACGUUCCCGGGCCUU
Molecule: ribosomal RNA, 471 nt
Filed under: uncultured Thauera sp.
Lineage: Bacteria; Pseudomonadati; Pseudomonadota; Betaproteobacteria; Rhodocyclales; Zoogloeaceae
Description: bacterial SSU rRNA
Rfam family: Bacterial small subunit ribosomal RNA
Source: RNAcentral